RNAcentral lists this ribosomal RNA (461 nucleotides) under uncultured soil bacterium. RNAcentral's name for it is "bacterial SSU rRNA". It matches the Rfam family "Bacterial small subunit ribosomal RNA", at positions 26 to 479 of the family's 1533-position model. The record is from RNAcentral.
AGAGUGAACGCUGGCGGCAGGCCUAACACAUGCAAGUCGAACGGCAGCACAGCAGAGCUUGCUCUGUGGGUGGCGAGUGGCGGACGGGUGAGGAUAGCGUCGGAAUCUGCCUAUUUGUGGGGGAUAACGUAGGGAAACUUACGCUAAUACCGCAUACGACCUACGGGUGAAAGCGGAGGACCUUCGGGCUUCGCGCAGAUAGAUGAGCCGACGUCGGAUUAGCUAGUUGGCGGGUAAAGGCCCACCAAGGCGACGAUCCGUAGCUGGUCUGAGAGGAUGAUCAGCCACACUGGAACUGAGACACGGUCCAGACUCCGUACGGGAGGCAGCAGGUGGGAAUAGUUGGAACAAGUGGGCGCAAGGCCUGAUCCAGCCAUGCCGCGUGUGUAGAAGAGGCCUUAGGUUGUAAAGCUAUUUGUACGGAAGAAAGCGACGGAUUAAGUACCCUGGCGUACAGUACG